Molecule: ribosomal RNA, 1104 nt
Filed under: Malacoplasma sp.
Lineage: Bacteria; Bacillati; Mycoplasmatota; Mycoplasmoidales; Mycoplasmoidaceae
Description: bacterial SSU rRNA
Rfam family: Bacterial small subunit ribosomal RNA
Source: RNAcentral
AAUUUUAAGAGUUUGAUCCUGGCUCAGGAUUAACGCUAGCGGGAUGCCUAAUACAUGCAAGUCGAACGAAGCACUUGUGCUUAGUGGCGAACGGGUGAGUAACACGUAUCUAACAUACCUUUUAGUGGGGGAUAACUGGUUGAAAAACUAGCUAAUACCGCAUAGGACAUUAUUAUUGCAUGAGAAAAUGUUUAAAGUUGCGUUUGCAACGCUUUAAGAUUGAGGUGCGGCAUAUCAGAUAGUUGGUAGGGUAAUGGCCUACCAAGUCUAUGACGUGUAGCUGUGCUGAGAGGCAAAACAGCCACAAUGGAACUGAGACACGGUCCAUACUUCUACGGGAGGCAGCAGUAGGGAAUUUUUCACAAUGGGCGAAAGCCUGAUGGAGCAAUCCCGCGUGAACGAUGAAGGUUUUUUAAAUUGUAAAGUUCUUUUAUUGGGGACGAAUUGUAGGAAGAGGAAAUGCUUUCUAUUUGACUGUACCCUUUGAAUAAGUAUCGGCUAACUAUGUGCCAGCAGCCGCGGUAAUACAUAGGAUGCAAGCGUUAUCCGGAUUUACUGGGCGUAAAGCGAGCGCAGGCGGAUUUACAAGUCUGGUGUUAAAUAUAGCUGCCCAACAGUUAUAUGCAUUGGAAACUGUAAGUCUAGAGUGCAGUAGAGAGUUUUGGAACUCCAUGUGGAGCGGUGGAAUGCGUAGAUAUAUGGAAGAACACCAGAGGCGAAGGCGAAAACUUAGGCUGUAACUGACGCUUAGGCUCGAAAGUGUGGGGAGCAAAUAGGAUUAGAUACCCUAGUAGUCCACACCGUAAACGAUGGUAAUUAAAUCUUGGUGCGGGAUGUAUCAGGAUUGCAGUUAACACAUUAAAUUACCCGCCUGAGUAGUACAUUCGCAAGAAUGAAACUCAAACGGAAUUGACGGGGACCCGCACAAGUGGUGGAGCAUGUUGCUUAAUUCGACGAUACACGUAAAACCUUACCUGGGUUUGACAUCCUUUGCAAAGCUAUAGAGAUAUAGUGGAGGUUAACAAAGUGACAGGUGGUGCAUGGUUGUCGUCAGCUCGUGUCGUGAGAUGUUGGGUUAAGUCCCGCAACGAGCGCAACCCUUAU